CAAAUCAUGGUGAACUAUCAUGUAGUCGACGUUCACAUAACACCACUAGAGGAAAGACAACAUGCAUCUCAUCAAAAUAUCGAACGAAUACCAAACUCACAUGAUUACUUAUAACAAGACUUCUCCCAUGUCCUUAGAAACAAACGUAAGUACUCACAAAGCAUGUCCAUGGUCAAGAUCAGAGGGGUAUUGAAUAUCAUUAAGGAUCUGAACAUAUGAUCUUCCACCAAAUAAACCAACUAGCAUCAACUACGAAGAGUAAUCAACACUACUAGCAACCCACAGGUACCAAUCUGAGAUUUUGAGGCAAAGAUUGAAUACAAGAGAUGAACUAGGGUUUGAGAGGAGAUGGUGCUGGUGAAGAUGUUGAUGAAGAUUGACCCUCCCUCGAUUAUAGGAUCGUUGCUGAUGAUGAUGGCUUCGAUGUCCCUCUCCCGAAGGGAAGUUUCCCCGGCAGAAUAGCUCCGUCAGAGUCCUAAAUUGCUUCUGCCCCGGUUCCGCCUCGAGACGGUGGUGCUUUGUCCUGAAAGCUUCCUUAUGAAUUUUUCUAGGUCGAAACCCUCCAUAUAGCAGAAGAUGGACACCGGGGGCUGGUCAGGGGGCCCACAAGCUUGGGAGGCGCGCCCUGGGGGUAGGGCGCGCCCCCAGGAUUGUGGCCACCUGGUGGGUCCCCUUCUAUUGUUUCUUCACCCAAUAUUAUAUAUAUAUAUGUAUAUAUUCAUUCCAAAACAAUUUUCCGUAAAGUUUCAGGACAUUUGGAGUUGUGUGGAAUAGGUAUCUCAGAUUUGCUCCUUUCCGGUCCAAAAUUUGAGUUGUCAGCAUUCUCCCUCUUCAUGUAAAUCUUGUAAAAUAAGAGAGAAAAGGCAUAAGUAUUAUACCAUAAUGUUAAAUAACAAUCCAUAAUGCAAUAAAUAUCAACAUAAAAACAUGAUGCAAAAUGGGCGUAUCAGUGUCGGCCUCGGCUUCCUCCUCCAUUAGAGCCGUGAACGCCUCCUCGUCGUUGGAGUCCAUUGUUGAACAGACAAGUCUCCAAACACCUGGCGGGCGUGGUGGGUGGGGUAGCCGCCGGUAUCCCCGCCUGCGUGGUUUGAGCCAUGGAAAGCUCGCCCAGGAGCUGGUUGGAGGUUGUCGCGGUGAAACCCUCUCUUUCCGAUGGGGAAAUGGUAUUUCUAGCGGCUACGGGCAGGUGGGCGGCGCUGGAUCGGCAUGGCGGUAAAAGGGGAAGUGGUGUCCUGCGACACGCGGGUCGAAUCUGGGCGGGGAAAAGGCGUUUCUCGCCUGACAGUGGUGGCCCAUGCGCCACCUUUCCUUCUGCCGGAGCCCCCAAGUGCCCCCCCCCAGUGCGCUGGGUUCGGCCUGGGAUCGCCGGGCCAAAAAAUGGACUGAACCGGCGGAAUUCGGUGUCCUGGGGGCGACUGGGUUUUUUUUGUCGCUGGCGAAAAAAAUGGCGUCUUGGGGGCUUGUUGGGGGUGUGGCUGGAGAUGCUCUAAAUCAUUCGUUCACUCAAUGUUGCUCUACAUAUUGUGUAGCCGUACGCCUGACGUGAUGUACCAUAGGAAAGAGGGAUGUCCAUUUACGUACAUACACAUGAAAGUGCGUUAUAUCGACUAGAGGGGGUGAAUAGGCGAUUUUUAUGAAUUCUUCACUAAGGAAUUUGCUGGUGAGGAAAUUCCUAAAUGAAGAACUACUUGCAGAGGAAUAAGUACUCAAAAGUAAACAUAGCAGAACACACGCAUAGUAAUCAUGAAGAAAUGAAGACAAGCACAGAGUAAAGAAAGCGUAAACACGGGAUAACACCAGGAAGAAGACGGACAGACUGAAGAAAUAGAACUAAGGAAAUUGAGAAAGUCUUCAGUCAAUGUCUUCAGACAGAUAUGAACAAGCACACAACAAUAGAGAUGAGGAAAUUAAAGAGUUGAGGAAAUAGAACCAGUAAGCUCGGUGAAGACAAUGAUUUGGUAGACCAAUUCCAACUGUUGUCUCAGUUGUACAUCUGGUUGGAGCGGCUGAGUAUUUAAACUCGAGGACACCCAGUCCCGGACACAUAGUCCUCACCGUAUUCUCCUUGAGCUAAGGUCACACAAACCUCGCCCAAUCACUCGUGGUAAGUCUUCAGGUGACUUCUGAACCUUCACAAACUCGGUCACUCGGCGAUCCACAAUUCCUCUUGGAUGCUCUAGACCUUGACGCCUAACCGUUUGGAAGAAGCACAAUCCUCAAAGGAAACAAGCGUCGGAUCAACGCAGGAUCAAUCUCUUCAGUGAUGCUCAAUCACUUUGGGGUUUGUAGGUUGGGGUUUGGAUUUUUCCUCACUUGAUGAUUUUGCUCAAAGUCCUCGGAGGAUGGGUUGCUCUCAAAUGACAGGUGUCAGUUUCUCUCGGAGCAGCCAACCAGCUAGUGGUUGUAGGGGGCGGCUAUUUAUAGCCUAGGGAGUAGCCCGACAUGAUAAGACAUAAAUGCCCUUGUCUGAUAUGACCAUUAGGUGGGUGGAUAUUUUGGGACAACUGGCGCGUAGCACAGCAACGGUCGGAAUAUUUGACUCUCAAAUACCUCAGGGCUAUCAUGUUCCUCACUAUGUAGGCAAUCCACACUGGCGAAUUCUUAACUCCUCGGUCAGAAAAAAUUCCUCAGAGACCAGAAGAACUUUGUCUCUAUCACUGAAGAAUAUGGAUGAUCUGUAUGAGAUUUCCAAUGGCUUCACUCGAAGGGAUUGGUAGGUGUAGGAUUUGAGUUGAGCAUCACAUGGAAAUUUUUCCUUAGUAUUUCCUCGACCCCCUUUAACAGUACGGUGUUUCCUAUGACUCAAGAAAGAGAAAAUGAAACUAUAAAAACAAAAGUCUUCAAGCUUCAUGUUCCUCGAAUGGUUGCCAAGUCUUCAAUAUCAUACCAAUUUCUUCACUUUCAAAGUCUUCAGAAAUCCAAAGUCUUCAGUUGAAGAACUUCAUUUUUAGGGGUCGACUUUCUCUGUAAGUAUCAAACUCCUCAUAGACUUAUAGACUUGUGUACACUCACAAACGCAUCAGUCCCUUAACCUAUAAGUCUUCAAUACACCAAAAUCACUAAGGGGCACUAGAUGCACUUACAAUCUCCCCCUUUUUGGUGAUUGAUGACAAUAUAGGUUAAGUUUUGAACGGGGAGAAAUAUAUGAAGUGUAGAUACUGAUGUUGAGGAAUUUGAUUGCAAGAUAUAGAAGAACUCCCCCUGAAAAUGUGCAUAGUGAGGAAUUUGAUUUUGAAGCAAUGCACACUUGAAGAGUAUAAUCAUGGAGAUCUCCCCCUAUAUCUUGUAAUUCAUACACGCAUUUGAUAUAUAAUAUGAAGAAUUUGAAAUGCAAGAUGAAAUAUGGUGACUGAUGUAAUUCAGCAUGCGUGCAUUUACAUUAAUGGGGAGUAAGCAUGCAGAAGAACACAGCGAAAGUAUCAGGUCACCAUAGAGUUUAAUAUUACAACUCGAUCCAGCAAAGUCAUUAGAAGAACGAGAGUUGUAACUUAGCAAAAAAACGCCCAUAUAAGAUAGACCCGCUUGAAGACUAACUCAAAUUUCUCCCCCUUUGUCAUCGAAUGACCAAAAGUGUUGAAACUGAGGACUAACGCCCCUGAGGAAUAUCAUGUUGAUGGAGGAGCGCCAGCAUUGUCACGGUCUUGAGUCGUUGUAGGGCCUGCUGCAGUGUCGUCCAAGUCUUCAUGCUCGUCCGUGGCGCGUGAUGAAGAAUAUGAGCUAGCCACCAAGGAAGGAACCUUGACCUUCUUGAAUCUCUUCGGUGGAGGAGCAGACCAGUCAAAGUCUUCCUUGAAGCCCAUUUGCUUCAGAUCUUCUUCACCAUAUAGAUGUGACAGAAUAGCCCGGGUGUGAUCAAACACUUCAUGGAGGUAGUAGUGGUUUUUCUUCACUGCAUUAUGUGUAGAAGUCAUGUUGUGAAGAAUAGAGCCAAACUGACGCUUAACCCACUUGUGGUUUCGAUCCACCUUCUGGUGAAGACUUAUAAGCAGUUCACGGUCAGUCAUCACACGUGGAGCAGUAGCUUGAGGACUUGACUUGGGAGCAUUGGCAGCAGAAUCAUGAGUGGCAGAGUCAUCAUUGGUGGAGUAAGAUGCAGCUUUGCGGAACUGACCAUCCAAUGGACGAAUGCCUUCAUCGAUCACGGCUGGUGACUUGCCCUUCUCAUCAGAUGAGGAAAUUGUCCGCUUGAGGACUUCAAUAGGGGGAAAGUAGCUGAGGUGAUUCUAAAAAUCAGCCUUGUAGUUGAGUGAAGACCUUGUUCUGAGGAAUCUCAUGAUCCACGGCGCGUAAGGCUUCAUCUCAAAUGGAGAAAGUGCAACAUUCGCCAGAGUCAUCAUGAAGAAAUCAUGAUAAUUUAUGGGGAUGCCAUGCAUGAUGUUGAAAAGCAUAUUCUUCAUCAUUCCGAUAAUUUCUUCAUCGGAUGAGUCAUGGCCUUUGAUGGGACUCAUGGUCUUCGUCAGAAUGAGGUAGAUGGUUCUGGGCACAUAGAGCAAUUCCUUCACGAGGAAUUUGGUCCUUGGAGCUUGUCCUGGCUUCAGUGGCUUCAUGAGCACUUGCAUAUAGUGAUCGAUGAGUUCAGGCUCAUCAUACGGACAACGAGCACUGUCAGGUGGAGGACUGAUUGGUAAGGCAUGAAGCAAUUCAGAGACUGGUGCCUUGUAAUGAGUGUUUUCAGUCAUCCAGUCCAACACCCACGAGUUGACGUCGGCAGCAUUGCCUGUGAUAUGCAAAGUUGCGUAGAACUGAAGAAUAAGCUCUUCAUUCCAAUCAACUAUGUCAGAGCAGAAAUUGAGCAAGCCAGCGUCAUGAAUCAUGCUGAGGACUUGAGAGAAGCAAGGCACGGAUUCCAUGUCCACAUGAGGAAUAUGCUCAUGAUAGAAGACUUUGUCCUUGUUGAGGAGCACUGAGGAAUAGAAGUUGGCCUGGCUGGCAGUCCAGAAACGCUUCCUUCUGAGACGAGCAUUGUCAUAUGGGUUGAAUUCAGUGAAGAAUACGUGCUCGCCUAAGAAAUCAUCAGCCUUGAAUUUUUGCUUCUUGGAGAAGGGAUCCUUUGGCUUGGGCUGAGGAGUGUCAGUCAAUUGCAGCACCACUUCAGGAAUCACAAUCUCAGGUUCCUCAGGCUGAGGAAUUUCAGGCUCUUCAGCAGCUUCAGCCUGGGUCGUCAAUUCUUCAUUGACAAUUUCUUCAGCACUAGUGGCUGGAAUUUCUUCAUGAACACCUGGGGUUGCAUGAGGUUCUUCAGAUCCCAUUUGCACUUCAGUGGCGGCAGGGGACUGAGGAAUAGCUUGGAGUGGAGUGAACAUUUGAGAGUUCGGAUGUUGACUGUCCCAAAAUUCAUCAUUGAGCACAGGAGUGGUACACCCAAUGUCCACAUCCUCAUCUUCAAUUUCUUCAACACCUGCCUCUUCAACAGUAAACUGAGGCAUAGGUGAGGAAAUGACUGGGGUUGAAGGGAUCUUAUCCACUUCAAUUUCUUCGUCCAACUACUCUGACGAAGCAGCAGAAGGAGUUUCUUCAUCAGAUUCAUCAGGAAUCACAUAAUCAUCACCAAAUGGAACAAGGUCCUUUGAUGGCAUUGAUGAGACUGGAACGGCAUCAAUUGGAUUGUCAAUUGAACUGAUCAGAGUCUUCAUCUUCUUCGGAGCUGAAGAAUUUGAAGAAGUUGAUGCCUUCUUUUUCUUCACAGCUGCACGUUCUGCAGCCUUGGUCUUCUUCGCAUCUAAUGCAGAUGGAAGGAUCGGAGUUGGUGUAGGCGCAGGAGGUGCAGAGGACUUUGGUUCAUUUUCCUCAGGCACAACUGAUGCAGUUGUCCUGAUUUGUUCACUUUCUUCAGGCGCACCACUAGUGGGUGCCCUGGAAAUAUCUUCAGCAGCUGGAAUGGAGUCAUCAGCCCUGGCACUCUCAUUUUCUUUAGCAGCCUGAAUGUCAUCAGCGGUGCUGGCAAGUUCUUCAGUAGGCUGAGCAAAUGCUUCAGCCUGAGUACUUCAACGUGCACAGGUGGAGCAGCACUUGAAGUGAAUGUCUUCGUCAGAUUGACGAAACGCACCUUGGCACCCUUCCAAUCAGCAUAGUAGCGAUCAAAUUCAUCGCUCAGUUGUUUGAUUUCCACUUGCAAAGCAAGGAGCUGAUCAGGAGUGAGAGUGAGGACAUUGCCCUUGAGGUAGCGCUGUUUCUUGUACUGCGAUUUCUUCAAACUUCUACCUUGUUCAAAUUUCCAUUUGUCUUCCUCAAUGAAGGCAGUAAGAACAUGACUUUGACCAGGAGUGAGGUUCAUCUUCGGCAAAGGCGUGUUAGGAUCCUUGUGCCACAGGUUAAUGUAGUCGAGGAUCAACUUUGGAUCCAGCAUCAGCGGCACAUUGCUGCCUUUGGCUCUAGUGGCCCUGGCUUGCCUGUUUCUGAUGAUUUCGGCAAGUUCUUCAUCAUCCGCCUCAUCAUCAUCAGAGGGCACUUGGAAAGCGACUUGCUUCUUGUGAGGACUUGGUCGAAUACCUCGUCUAGCAGUGGCCUUUUUCUUCAGCAGUGAGGGACCAGCUGAGGAAGUUCGAGCAGCUGAGGAGCUUGUAGAUGCUCCUGAGGCAAUAGAGAAGCCUUGAGUCCUUUGGCACAUGGCGAGAUGCACAGGUGCCGAGGAUUUUGUCGGAGCAGCUGAAGAGUUUGAAGGAGGAGCUGAGGACUUUGAAGGAGCAGUCUGAGGAAUUUGCCGUGAGGGCCUUGAAGAAUCUGUCCUUGAUGGCAUAGCAGAGGAGCUUGGCCGUGAGGGCAUUGAAGGUGAAGCACUGGACUUGUGCGCAUGCUUCUUGUGCAUUGCCUUCUUUGGCUGACUAGUAGAGGCCUCAGCAGAGGCAGCAGUAGUAGCAGAGUCUGCGUUGAAUUUCUUCACUGCUUCCUUUGCUUGCUUAGCCAGUUUGGCUUGGCGCUUCGCCCAUUCAUCAGGAUAAUCCUGACCGCACUUGAGGCUGGUGGGAUCUGCCAACUGGCGUGGUGCCAAUGGAGGUCUUGGGCAUGGAGGGUUGAGUGUGAAUUUCUUCAUAUACUUGGGAGUGACAUAUCUGUACUCCCUCCAUUCUCGUGCCCAUCUCCUCUCUAUCCUUUGUAUGCGCACCUUGCGCUGAUUCUUGUCCUCUUUGCCGAAUUUGGCUUCAUCAGGUGUGCAGUAGUCCUUGUAUAUGUCCUCAGGAAUUUCAAACGUAGUAUUGACCUCAAGCCUCUUUCCUCCCUUCUGUGGCCUUUUGUCACCCAUUUUCUUCAGCUGAGGAAUAUGAAUAACUGAAGUUUCUGAAGAGGUGUGCAACUUUUCUUCGAGGAACGCUGCAAAUGAGUUAAGUUGAUGAGAACCUAGUGAUUCAGCAGCGGACAUCUGUACCUGUGAACAGAGUAUAGUUGCGAGGAAUUUGGAGAGGUCAUAUGCGUUCUCAGAAGGUUUUUCAAAAAGAAUAGGUUUUGAGGAAUUUGACCAGGUGAGUCUUGAGGAAUUUCACUAAGUGUUCUUUGUCUUAGGUUCUAGAGUUGUAUAGAUUGAGAAUCCACACAAUUGAGGAAUCUUGAAGAAAAUCAUUGCUUAGAGAAACAAAUCAAGAGCAGAUGACGUGUGAGGUGUUAAUGUGUGUGAAGAUUUGAAGGAUAAACACCUUUGAAGAUUUUUUUAAGAAAACUUGAGAAUCAAAGCGAGCAAUAAAAGUAACUUUUAAUUACCCAAAGUGAAGAACACGACAAACUGGGAAGAACAGAUGUGAAGUUCGUCAGGUCAGAUCUUCCACGCCCUAACUUGGCAGAGGAAGACGGCUACAGCGGCGGCGGAGUGAAGAAAUCCGCAGCCGGCGCGAGUACAACAGCGACGAGGUUGAGGCAGUGAAGCUCUUCCUCACCGGUGAUGAUGAAGUAGCGAUGGCGCUAGGGUUUUGGGGAAGCUCGAGCAGGAGAGAGCGCGAGCGAGGUGAAAGUGAAGUGACGAAGAGACAGGGGUAUUUAUAGAGAGAGUGAAAAACUGUUCAACGAGGAAAUCGGACGAACAUGCCCCUGGCCCCUUCUCAUUCGCUUGACAUGUGUCACCCACGUACUGAGAGGUGGCGAUCGUGUGAGAUCGUGGGUGAGUAGAUAAGUAUUAUCGUGAGAAGCGGAACGGUUUGAGCGGCAAAGCCGAAAAUUCAGAUAAGAUAAGUUAAAAGUUCCAUUCGCAAUUUGUUCAGCUGUCAAGGACACAAUGAAGAUUUUGAACAAGUUUCAAAUAGAACGCACAUGAAGAAUUUGUGAAUAGAGUGGGUUGAGUUUAGCAUAGAGGGGGAAGGGUCCGAUCACAUUCACUUAGCAGAAGAAAUCAACUUGAAGAAAUNNNNNNNNNNNNNNNNNNNNNNNNNNNNNNNNNNNNNNNNNNNNNNNNNNNNNNNNNNNNNNNNNNNNNNNNNNNNNNNNNNNNNNNNNNNNNNNNNNNNNNNNNNNNNNNNNNNNNNNNNNNNNNNNNNNNNNNNNNNNNNNNNNNNNNNNNNNNNNNNNNNNNNNNNNNNNNNNNNNNNNNNNNNNNNNNNNNNNNNNNNNNNNNNNNNNNNNNNNNNNNNNNNNNNNNNNNNNNNNNNNNNNNNNNNNNNNNNNNNNNNNNNNNNNNNNNNNNNNNNNNNNNNNNNNNNNNNNNNNNNNNNNNNNNNNNNNNNNNNNNNNNNNNNNNNNNNNNNNNNNNNNCACCGGAAAGAGUGAAGACAAUGCAAAAUUGAAGAAUUUGAAAAACUGAGGAAUUUCAGGAACAAAGAAAAACUCAAAUUGAAGAUUUUCAACUUUGGUUGGUGGCGUAACCCACUGUAUAAGAAAGCUGAUUUCAGACGCCGCGUACAAUUGUCGUAGAGCUCUGAGAAUCAAUUUCUUCAUUAAUUUCUUCACAAUUAGAGGGUUAGUCUUCAUUGAUUGAAGAAAAACAUUACUUUGUGUGUUGCACAUCUAAGUCAUCAAGUCAGCAUAAGUGUUAGGAUGUGUGUCCAUUUCAUAGAACAUUCGAAGAUUCUAGGAUAUUUAGCUCACACCGCAACUUGCCAAAUCUCUUCUCAUCCAAGGGCUUAGUGAAUAUAUCGGCUAGCUGAUCUUCAGUGCUAGCAUGGUCGAUGGAGAUGUCGCCCUUCAACACAUGAUCACGAAGAAAGUGAUGACGAAUCUGGAUGUGCUUUGUCUUCGAGUGCUGAACUGGGUUAUGAGCAAUCUUGAUAGCGCUCUCAUUGUCGCAGUAGAGAGGCACAUUCUUCACGUUGAUGCCAUAGUCCUUGAGUGUUUGCUUCAUCCAUAGUAAUUGAGCACAACAUGAUCCAGUAGCAAUGUACUCAGCUUCUGCAGUGGAGAGUGAUACGCAGUACUGUUUCUUCGAGGACCAACAGACCAAAGAUCGUCCGAGGAAAUGACAUGUGCCUGAUGUUGACUUGCGGUCCACGCGAUCGCCAGCAUAGUCAGAGUCUGAAUAUCCAAUGAGAUCAAAUGAAGAGCCCUUGGGAUACCAUAAUCCAAGUGUUGGUGUGUGAGCUAGAUAUCAAAGAAUAUGCUUCACAGCCUUAUGGUGUGAUUCCUUCGGUGUAGCUUGAAAUCGGGCACACAUGCAAACACUAAGCAUAAUAUCCGGCCUAGAUGCACAUCGGUAUAAUAAGGAACCAAUCAUGGAGCGGUAUACCUUUAGAUCGAAGUCUUUACCAUUUUCAUCAGUGCAUAGAUGGCCAUUUGUGGGCAUUGGAAUUUUGACCCCUUUGCAGUCUUGCAUGCCGAAUUUCCUCAAUACUUCUUUGAGGUAUUUCUCCUGAGAUAUGAAUAUGCCAUUGCACUGUUGACGAAUUUGAAGACCUAAAAAGAAUUUCAAUUCUCCCAUCAUAGACAUUUGAUAUUCUUCACUCAUCAUAUAGGCAAAUUCAUCACUAUAUCGUUGGUCAAUACAGCCAAAGAUAAUAUCAUCAACAUAUAUUUGGCACACAAACAAUUCAUCAUCAUAAGAUUUAGUGAAAAGAGUUGGGUCGAGUGAACCGGGUUUGAUGCCUUUCUUCAUGAAGAAUUCCUUCAAAGUAUCAUACCACGCCCGAGGGGCUUGCUUGAGGCCAUACAAGGCCUUGUUGAGUCUGAAGACUUUGCCGGAAUUCUUUGGAUCUUCAAAACCUGGGGAUUGAGCAACAUAUACUUCUUCCUCAAGCUUACCAUUGAGGAAUGCACUUUUCACAUCCAUUUGAUAUAAAGUGAUAUUAUGAUGGUUAGCGUAAGCAAGUAAUAUGCGAAUAGCCUCAAGUCUAGCAACAGGUGCAAAAGUUUCAUCGAAAUCAAUACCCUCAACCUGUGUGUAGCCUUGAGCUACAAGCCGUGCCUUAUUCCUCACCACAAGGCCAUUUUCAUCUUGCUUGUUGCGGUAGAUCCAUUUUGUGCCAAUGAUGUUGUGCUUGCGAGGAUCUGGACAUUUGGCCAGUUCCCAGACAUUGUUGAGCUCGAACUGAAGUAAUUCUUCUUGCAUAGCUUGAAUCCACUCAGGCUCCAGAAAUGCUUCAUCUACCUUAGUGGGCUCUAUGAUAGAGACAAAAGCAAAGUGCCCACAAAAGUUAUAUAAAUGUGAAGCCUUUGAGCGAGUGAGAGGACCUAGUGCUCUAAUAUCAUCGAUGAUCUUCUCGACUUGCACUUCGUUUGCAAUGCGAGGAUGAGUGGGUUGUCUUCGAAGAAUUUGAUCAGCAUUUCCUUCAGGAGCAUUUUCUUCAGCACCAUUUUCUUCAGGUGCGCCAGCUUGAUGUUCAUCACGUUCUGGAAUGAAUUCUUCAGUAGGAAUGACAUCCUCAGUAGCCUUGAACUUGAUAGAAUCCUCAGGUGCUGGUUCAUCUAUCACAAAAGGUAGGUGCUCUCUUUGCGAGCCAUUAGUUUCAUCAAACCGCACAUCUACAGUUUCAACAACCUUGUGAAGAACACUGUUGAAGACUCUAUAGGUGUGCGAGUCCUUUCCGUAACCAAGCAUAAAACCCUCAUGUGCUUUCGGUGCAAAUUUAGAAUUGUGAUGUGGAUAUCUAAUCCAACAUUUAGCACCGAAGACUUUGAAGUAACUUACAUUGGGUUUCUUGUCAGUGAGGAGUUCAUAGGCAGUCUUCUUGAAGAAUUUGUGUAGAUAUACUCUAUUGAUGAUGUGGCAAGUGGUAUCAGUUGCAUCAAUCCAGAACCGACGAGGUGUUUUGUAUUCAUCAAGCAUAGUGUGAGCCAUUUCAGCGAGGGUUCCGUUCUUGUGCUCCACGACGCCAUUCUGCUGAGGAGUAUAAGGAGUAGAUAACUCAUGAGUAAUACCAAGUUCAUCAAGAUAGCCAUCAAGACCGGAAUUCUUGAACUCAGUCCCAUUAUCACUUCUGAUGUGCUUGAUCUUCACACCAAAGUUGGUUGAAGCCCUCGAGGAAAAUCGUUUGAAGACUUCCUACACCUCAUGUUUGUAAGUGACAAUGUGCACCCAUGUGUAACAAGAAUAAUCAUCAACAAUAACAAAGCCAUAUAGAGAUGCAUCAUUUGUAACAGCAGAAUAAUGAUUAGGACCAAAGAGAUCCAUGUGAAGCAAUUCAAAUGGUCGAGUGGUGGUCAUGAUAGUCUUCGCUGGAUGCUUGGCCUUUGUCAUCUUCCCAGCUUCAUAGGCUCUGCAUAAAUGAUCCUUGAGGAAUUUGACAUUCUCAAAGCCAAUGACAUGCUUCUUCUUUGCGAGCGUGUGCAGAUUCCUCAUGCCAGCAUGACCAAGUCGUUGAUGCCAUAGCCAGCCUUCUGAAGCUUUUGCAAGUAAGCACACGGCAGGUUGUGGUCCUGUAGAGAAAUCAACAAUGUACAAGUCUCCUCUCCUAAAGCCUUUGAAGACUUUGGAAUUGCCAGCUUCCAUGAUCACAACGCAACGAUACUUGCCAAAGACAACAACCAUAUCAAGAUCACAAAGCAUUGAGACAGACAUGAGGUUGUAACCUAAGGACUCGACAAGCAUGACUUCGUCCAUGUGUAUGUCCUUAGAGAUUGCAACCUUACCUAGACCCAAUACCUGACUUUUGCCUUUGUCAGCAAAGAUGAUAUGCUUCAGAUGUGACGGUGAUAAAGGAGCAUCCAUCAAUAGAUUCUUGUCACCAGUCAUGUGAUUUGUACAUCCACUAUCGAGGACCCACUCAUUGGCUUUGGGUUUAUCAUCCUGUAGAUGAAUUAGUGCAUCUUACAAACUCAUAUACUUCAUCAGUGAAGAAUAUGACAUCAAUAUCAUCAGAUCAAUUUCUUCAAGCAAUUAAAACAGAUAAGCUGUUAGGAGGACGUGUGAAAUGAAAGUUCAUUUCAUCAUUAUUAGCAUGCGUCCUAUCAGGCACUGUUCGGGUCUCCAGCAAAUUCUUCAGUCGUUUUGAGCACGACUGGAGACCUGAUCCUGCAAAAGAGAUUAGUUCUUUUUCUUCACCACCCACAUCUGGAGGGGUGGCAAAGAAUUCAUCACUCUGCGAGCACCAUAUGAGAAAGGUGGCAUAGACACCAGUCCACUUUGUUUCACAUAAGAAGGGUUAGGAUAAGCAUAUGAAUAAGCAGAGAAAUUCUUUGAGGACUUAUGAACAUAAUGAUUUGAAGAAUAAUGCACAUAUUCAUAGCCCUUAGCUCUACCCUGCAAAACAGAAGGGUUAGCACGAUGAUGAUCAUAUGAGGACUUUAAUCCUUUUGAGGAAUUUGAUCCAUGUGAGGAAUUUGGUCCACUUGAGGACUUGGAUCCAUAUGAAGAAUUUGGUUCAUAUGAAGAAUUUGAUCUGGAGUUCCUAUUCUUCACAGGUGGUGUCAUGAGGACAUUCACCUGAAGGCUUUCAAGGCAACUUUUGGGAACCCAGAUUUUCUUCAUAGGGGAACCGUUCCUGCAGUUAGUCCCAACAUAUCUAGCAAAUACUUCACCAUUCUGAUUUUUGAACAGUCUAUAGUUAGAGUCAAAUGACUCAUCAGAAGAAUGGAGAGAUUCACAUGUAAAGCCAGAUAAGUUGGAUGGAUCAACUGGAGGUCCCUUUGCAGCAACCCAUGAGAUUUUGGGGUACUGCUCAGGCUUCCAAUAUGUUCCAUCAGCAUUGAGUUUCCUCUCAAAGGAAAUACCCUCUUUCCUAGGGUUUCUGUUGAGGAUCUGCUUUUUGAGCACAUCACAAAGAGUCUAAUGCCCUUUGAGGCUUUUGUACAUGCUUGUCAUGUAAAAUUCCUUUAGCCAUGCAUCAUCAGUGAUACUUGCAUUGUCCUGAGAUGAGGAAUUAGUGAUAGCAGAGACAGGUGAAGAAUUUGUAACAUUAGAAGCAUUUGAACAUCCAGGUGAAGAAUUAGCAGUUUCACGUUCAAUGCACUUUAGACAUGGAGGAAUAAAUUCUUCCUGAGUAGCGUUGAUUUGUUGAGCUAGUAAUGAAUCACACUCCUUCUAAAGAUCUUCAUAACUCACUCUUAGCUUCUCAAGAUCUUGCUUUCUUUGAAGAAAUUCAUAAGAAAGCUUCUCGUGAUCAGAUAAGAGAGUGUUAUGAUGACUUUGAAGAUUGUCAAACUUAGACUGAAGUCUCUGAAGAUUUUCAGUUAAGUUUUUAGUGCGAUCCAUUUCUUCACCCAACAUAUCAUCACUUUUGUCUAGCAUGUUUUGAAGCUUAUCAAUAGCCUUUUGUUGUUUCAUAGCAAGUUUAGAGUAGCUAGGCUUAAGAUUUUCAUCAGAUUCAUCCUCACUUGAUUCAGAGGAGGGGUAUUUAGUUACCUUGGCACCCUUUGCCAUGAAGCAAUAGGUGGGAGCAUAGUCAUCAUUACCUUCAUCAGCAUUGUUGGUGUUGCCAUUUUCUUCAGAGUUGAAGAUAGACUUGUUGACAAACGUGGUAGCAAGAGCCAGGCUUGCCACACCAGACUCGGACUCCUCAGAUGCCUCCUCUUCCUCAUGAUCCUUAGAUUCAGCCUUGGAAUCCAUUUCCUUGCCUAUGAAUGCCCAAGCCUUCUUGGAGAUGCUCUUCUUGUGAGAUGAAGACUUUGAGGAUUUUGAUGAUGAAGACUUUGAAUAUUUCUUCUUCUUCUUGGCAUCAUCAGAAUUGUAAUCCUUGUAUUUCUUCUUCUUCAGUUCCUUAUCCCGCUGAGGACAAUCUUGAAUGUAAUGAUCAGGUUUCUUGCACUUGUGACAUAGCCUUUUCUUGUAGUCAUUGGAUGAGGAAUGAUUGCUCCUUGAGGAUUUUCCAAAGCGACCACGUCUUGAGAACUUCUAAAAUUUCUUCACGAGCAAUGCUAGUUCCUGGCUUAGUUCUUCGGGAUCACCAAGGCUGCUAGUGGAGCCCUCUUCUUCAGACUCAGAGACUACCUUGGCCUUCAAAGCACAUGGUUUACCAUAGCUUGAACCAUAGAGAUCUCUCUUCUCGGCAAGCUGGAACUCAUGAGUGUUUAGCCUCUCGAGGAUAUCAGCAGGAUCAAGUGACUUGUAAUCAGCACGCUCUUGAAUCAUCAGUGCCAGGGUGUCAAAUGAAGAAUCGAGCGAUCUCAGCAAUUUCUUCACCACCUCAUGGUCGGUGAUAUCAGUGGCGCCAAGCGCUUGAAGCUCAUUUGAGAUAUCAGUGAGGCGAUCGAAGGUUUGCUGAACAUUUUCAUUGUCGAGUCUUUUGAAGCGGUUGAAGAGAUUGCGAAGGACGUCAACACGAGAGUCACGUUGAGUUGAGACUCCUUCAUUUACUUUGGAGAGCCUAUCCCAGAUAAGCUUAGUAGUUUCCAAAGCACUCACUCUACCAUAUUGCCCUUUGCUCAGAUGGCCACAUAUGAUAUUCUUCGCUUGAGAAUCGAGUUGAUUGAAUCUCUUCACAUCAGUAGCAUUCAGGGAAGGUGUGACUGAGGGAACACCAUUUUCCACAACAUACCAGAGAUCGUUGUCAAUUGCCUCAAGAUGCAUUCGCAUCUUAUUCUUCCAAUAGGGGUAGUCCGUUCCAUCGAAGGUAGGACACCCAGCAGAGACCUUGAUCAUACCUGCGGUCGACAUAACUAAAACUCCACGCGGUUAAACCAAAAUGACAUAGAACAAGGGAGUACCUUGCUCUGGUACCAAUUCAAAGUGCAUUAUAUCGACUAGAGGGGGUGAAUAGGUGAUUUUUAUGAAUUCUUCAUUGAGGAAUUUGCUGGUGAGGAAAUUCCUAAAUGAAUAACUACUUGCAGCGGAAUAAGUACUCAAAAGUAAACAUAGCAGAACACACGCAUAGUCAUCAUGAAGAAAUGAAGACAAGCACAGAGUACAGAAAGCGUAAACACGGGAUAACACAAGGAAGAAGACGGACAGACUAAAGAAAUAAAACUGAGGAAAUUGAGAAAGUCUUCAGUCAAUGUCUUCAGACAGAUAUGAACAAGCACACAACAACAGAGAUGAGGAAAUUAAAGAGUUGAGGAAAUAGAACCAGUAAGCUCAGUGAAGACAAUGAUUUGGUAGACCAGUUCCAACUACUGUCUCAGUUGUACAUCUGCUUGGAGCGGCUGAGUAUUUAAACUCGAGGACACCCAGUCCCGGACACACAGUCCUCACCGUAUUCCCCUUGAGCUAAGGUCACAUAGACCUCGCCCAAUCACUCGUGGUAAGUCUUCAGGUGACUUCUGAACCUUCACAAACUCGGUCACUCAGCGAUCCACAAUUCCUCUUAGAUGCUCUAGACCUUGACGCCUAACCGUCUGGAAGAAGCACAUUCUUCAAAGGAAACAAGCGUCGGAUCCAUGCAGGAUCAAUCUCUUCAGUGAUGCUCAAUCACUUUGGGGUUUGUGGGUUGGGGUUUGGGUUUUUCCUCACUUGAUGAUUUCGCUCAAAGUCCUCGAAGGAUGGGUUGCUCUCAAAUGACAAGUGUCAGUUUCUCUCGGAGCAGCCUACCAGCUAGUGGUUGUAGGGGGGCGGCUAUUUAUAGCCUAGGGAGCAGCCCGACAUGAUAAGACAUAAAUGCCCUUGUCUGAUAUGACCGUUAGGUGGGUGGAUAUUUUGGGACAGCUGGUGCGUAGCACAGCAACGGUCGGAAUAUUUGACUCUCAAAUACCUCAGGGCUAUCAUGUUCCUCACUGUGUAGGCAAUCCGCACUGGUGAAUUCCUAACUCCUCAGUCAGAACAAAUUCCUCAGAGACCAGAAGAACUUCGUCUCUGUCACUGAAGAAUAUGGCUGAUCUAUAUGAGAUUUCCAAUGGCUUCACUCGAAGGGAUUGGUAGGUGUAGGAUUUGAGUUGAGCAUCACAUGGAAAUUUUUCCUUAGUAUUUUCUCGACCCCCUUUAACAGUACGGUGUUUCCUAUGACUCAAGAAAGAGAAAAUGAAACUAUAAAAACAAAAGUCUUCAAGCUUCAUGUUCCUCGAAUGAUUGCCAAGUCUUCAAGAUCACACCAAUUUCUUCACUUUCAAAGUCUUCAGAAAGUCUUCAGAAAUCCAAAGUCUUCAGUUGAAGGACUUCAUUUUUAGGGGUCGACUUUCUCUGUAAGUGUCAAACUCCUCAUAGACUUAUAGACAUGUGUACACUCACAAACGCAUCAGUCCCUUAACCUAUAAGUCUUCAAUACACCAAAAUCACUAAGGGGCACUAAAUGCACUUACAACACAGUCGAAUAAAGCUGAAUGGGCAGUAUGUGUGGGAUGGCAUGAUCCGUUGAAACUUGUUGGACAUUGAAUUUGAGACAUUGGUGUACUACACUUAUUUGCAUGCUAUGUAUGGAUGAUUUGUGUUUUUUGUUUUCCAAACUUUGAUGAAUAUCCACUGGUUUGCAUGAAUUUCGUCCGCUAAGUCGAAACCCGACUUGAAAUAUAUGCGGGCAGCGUUGGAUGGCUGGCUCCAGCAUCCAUGUCCACGGACUGGUACCCCCUGUCCGCAGAUGGAUGCCGGAGCAAAUUUGUGGGUCAGCAUUGGAGAUGCCCUAAUCUAUAACAGGAAUUGCAUCAAUUUAAUUUUGAUCAACUCCAUAGGAAAAAAUGAGCGUAGCUCAGAUGGUUAGGUUCCUUGUGAUGAAACCAACCCACCAUGGUUGAAGUCCUAAACUUGGCAUUGGUGCUCGUAUUUUUCUUGGUUUAUUUCAGUGAGAGAGACGUUUCCCUCAACUAUGAGGGUACAUGUGGUGACUUCGUCAAUCUCAAAAUAUUGUGCUACCUCGGUCACUCGAAGGUGCUCAUAGGGGUUGUGUGGGCAUCUGCGUUGUACUGUGUCAAAAAAGUUCGCAAUUUUUUAUGCAUAGUAUGAAAAUGUAUUUCAUGAUACAUACGUAACACACCACCACCGCCACCUCUCUCUCUCUCUCUCUCUCUCUCUCUCUCUCUCUCCCGCAUCGAACAAGGGACCUCCCUCUCACGUCGCCUCCCCCGCGGGCGGCUUGGGAGGGCUCAGCCGCCACCGCCGCCUAGUAACCCUCCAGCGCCCUUCUUCCCCUCCACCGUUGCCAAUGGUCGGCUCCGGGCAAAGCCCGUGCGUGCGACGGCGGCGGCGGAGGGUCUCUCCUCCCUCUCUCGGAACCGCGGCGACUUGGGCGUCCUGAUCCGCGGGGUGCGGCCCCCCCGACGGUGUGGCGGAUCCCGGAGGCGGCGGUGCACGGGCGCCCAGAUCCAUGGGUGUGGGAUUCCCGACAGCGUGCGGGCUCCCGGCGGCGGCGGGAUCGGUCGACGAUGGGAUUGGGCGAUGGCGCCGCUCGCGUGGUGUUGGAUCUCAUCGCUCAUGGCGGAUCUCGCCACUCCGGCCAUCAUGGAGGAACCUGGACCUGGGGCGGCGGCCCCGUUAGGCAUGGUGAUGGCGCCCUCGGCUGGCGACGUUCGCGGGGGGUGGAUGGACGGCGUCUUGACCACGUGGGCAGUGAGUCAACGGUGGAUCUCCUCUGCGCUGCAGGCUCUCUCCCGCUGCAGUUGGUGGCUUACGAUCGCGGUCGUCGGCCUCGGUGCGUUCGCGGGGGCUGGUAGAGGUAACAUCGGACCGGAGGAAACUCUGGAUGACUCGUUCAUCCUGAUGGUGGCGACGACCAAGGUCGCCGUUCUCCUCCUUGCAGGCGCCGUCAAGGUCCCCGCCCUCCACCCCGACCCCAUGCCAGGGUGAAAACCCAGAAUCUCCUUAGAUUGGGCGUCGGUGGCACUGCAUGUGUCUUACCCUUCUUGGAGGCGCCGCCUGAGGCAUUUGGGUGCUCGGUUAGAGGAACUGCGGGCGGAGGGGAUGGGACCAGUGGCAGCAGGUGUUGUUCGCGAACGAGGAGUGGCGUGGCAUCUGGCACGUCGACAAUGGCGGGUCUCAGCGGCAUGAAGCAGCGCGGUCUCGCCGAUGGGCGUGUGAUGAUGGACGAGCGCAAGAUGGUGGCGUUGUCUGGCAUCGUGGUGGCGUCGACGGCAGCUAGACCGGACAGGGUCGAUGCCUCGGUACAGCUUUGAAGAUGGAACGGUGGAAGACGGCGGCGGCAGCCUCGGUGAGUGCGUCGGACCGGUGUGUGACCCGGUCCAGGUAUGUGGCCUGGAUGGGGCAUCCGACACUAGAUGCUAGGAUUUGGUGCGAAGUAUAUCUGGUAUUAGGCUCGGACAUUCGGUACCACUGCAUCAAGAGGAUAGGAGUAGCGACAGGUGUUGCCUUGAGGAUGGCUUCAAGCUUACUGAUGUACUUCCUUAUAAGGUCUUUUGUGAAUAAUUAAUAAAGUGGCUGCGUGCAUUGUCGAGAUGCAGAGGCCGAGGGUGCUUGUAUUUCAUAAAGAAUCUCACGAGACUACUUUGACGUUUUAGGUGUUAGUAUUUUUGUAGACUUGAUCAAACUUAAAACAAAUUUUACUUGAGACAGACCAUUAACUACAGAUAGAGUUACUUGUUGUUCACAAAGAUUUAUAACUCUGAAAAAACGGUUGGAAACAUGUGGAACGGCUCAACCCAUUUUCCUAAUAAUUUAGCAAUUUAUAUUUCCUCCUCAACUCGAUCAUUUCUCACGCCUAUAAAAAGCUCAGCAACCCAGAGCAGAACCUCCACGGCAACAACCCCUCCGAAAAGCGGAAAAGCCACGAUGACCAGGCCUCACACUGGUAGUGAGUCACCACUGGUGGUGCAUCUGCUGCUGUGUUGCACCUUUCUCCUGGCCGCCGCUGCUCCGGCGACCACCGCAGCCUCCGUUCCCGCCCCUGCUCCGACCCCGACGAAGCAGAACAUGACGUGGGACGUGGAGUACAUCAUGUGGUCGCCGGACUGCCAGCAGCGGGUGAUGAUCGGGAUCAACGGCAAGUUCCCCGGCCCGAACAUCACCGCCCGCGCCGGCGAGACCCUCAGCAUCACCGUGAACAACAAGCUGCACACCGAGGGGCUGGUGAUCCACUGGCACGGGAUGCGGCAGGUGGGCACGCCGUGGGCGGACGGGACGGCGUCCAUCUCCCAGUGCGCCAUCAGCCCGGGGGACUCGUUCACCUACGAGUUCGUCGCCGACAAGGUAGGCAACGUCGCAACCGAACAAAACCCCGUACCCGGAAUGGCCGGGCACGUGGAGAAGACCCAAGGAACUCAACUGAACUGAACCAAAUUUGUCCGCUUGUGCAGCCGGGGACCUACUUCUACCACGGGCACUUCGGGAUGCAGCGGGCGGCGGGGCUGUACGGGUGGCUCGUCGUGAACGCCACGGCGGAGCAGGACGAGCCGUACCGGAGGGACUACGACGGCGGCGAGCUCCGCAUGCUGCUCAGCGACUGGUACCACGACAACGUGUACGCGCAGGCGGCCGGGCUGGAGCAAAAGUACGAUCACUUCCAGUGGGUCGGCGAGCCGCAGACGAUCCUCAUCAACGGCAGAGGGCAGCACGACUGCAUGCUGGGCACGGUCACGAGGUUCCACCGGGGCAUCGACAGGCACGCCAAGACCUGCGUGAGGGACAAGCAGGCCAAGCUGUGCAGGGACGAGGAGAGGUGCCUCCGGCGGAGCGAGUGCGGGCCCUACUGCCCGCAGAGCCAGUGCUACCCCGUGGUGUUCGACGUGGAGCCUGGCAGGACGUACCGGCUCAGGAUCGCCAGCACCACCUCACUCUCUGCUCUCAACGUGCAGGUCCAAGGGGUAAGAAAGAAAGACAACCAUUUCUUUUUCCAUUCUUUUUUUUUGAACUUCUUUUUCCAUUCUUCUUCAGUGAGAAAUUACUUAUUGAUGGUGGGGGUAAUUUUGAAGCACGACCUGACGGUGGUGGAGGCCGACGGCAACCCCGUGGAGCCGUUCACGGUCCCCGACAUCGACAUAUACUCCGGCGAGAGCUACUCCGUGCUCCUCACAACCAACCACACGCCGACGUUCUACAGGUCGGGGUCCUUCUGGGUCUCCGUCGGCGUGAGAGGACGGCCCCCCAAGACGCUGCCGGCCACCGCCGUCCUAAGGUACACCAACAGCAGGUUCCCGUGGCCAGGCAGCCCGCCCCCGGCGACUCCGGCGUGGUACGACCUGCAGCGCAGCAAGGGCUUCACCUACAGGAUCAAGGCCCGGAGGAACGCCGCCGAGGCGCCGCCGCCGCCGCGGACCGAGCAGGUGAACCGGACGAUCGUCAUGCUCAACACGCAGACCCUGGUGGGCGGGCACAUGAAGUGGGCCGUCAACAACGUGUCCCUGACGCUCCCGGCCACCCCGUACCUCGGCGCCUACUUCUACGGCGUCCAGGGCAGCGCGUUCGACGCCUCCGGCGAGGCGCCCAACGGGUUCCCCGGCGGGUACGACAUCGACCUGCCGCCGGCGAACAACAGCUACGAGGCCACGCUCAGCGACCGGGUGUACGAGCUGCCGCACGGCGCCGUGGUGGACGUGGUGCUCCAGAACGCGGACAUGCGGAGGGACAACGACAGCGAGACGCACCCGUGGCACCUGCACGGCCACGACUUCUGGGUGCUGGGGUACGGCGAGGGGCGGUACGGCGGCGGCGGCGGCGGCGAGCGCCUCAACACGGAGGACCCGCCGCUGCGGAACACGGUGGUGUUGUUCCCGCACGGGUGGACGGCGAUCCGGUUCGUCGCCGACAACGUGGGCGCGUGGGCGUUCCACUGCCACAUCGAGCCGCACCUCCACAUGGGCAUGGGCGCCGUCUUUGUCGAAGGGGCCCACAUGAUACGCGAGCUCGACGUGCCAAGGGAGACCAUGAUGUGCGGGGUGAUCAGGACGGCGGCCGCAUCCCUGACUCCCGCUAAGCCAGGCUCGCCGGCGCCAUCGGCUCAUGGAUAAGCUCCUCCUCGCAUGCCUGUUCCAAUGUAUCCGUGGUCAUUUGUCAGUGCGCAGUGCAAAACAAAGGCCUUCCAGUCAGAACUCCAAAUAUCAGUAGUUGGCAAAUGUAAAAUGUUUUUCACUGCACAUUCUCACUGAAUAAAGUUUUAUUGAUAAAGAAAAAUGUCUGCUUUCUGAUAAACGUCGUCUUACAAUGAAAAGAUAAUUGUUCUGAAAUUUUCAUUGAUUGGCCAAUUAAUUUUAAGAUUCAGGUACAUAGUUACUGUACUAUACCAAGUAAGAGAGUAAUUUUUAUUGAUUGGCCAAUUAAUUUUAAGAUUCAGGUACAUAGUUACUGUACUAUACCAAGUAAGAGAGUAACAGACCCUUCAAAAAAAAUAAGAGAGUAACAAACAGUACGCAGUUAGCUCAGCACCAGGGUAAUAUCGAAUGAAAUCAUUCAACCAACGAGAAAGUUAUGCACUAAGAAAUAGUGCCAUGUCCAGCGUACUGCGUGUAAGACAUAAAACACAAAUGGAACAGACAUGGUCAAUCGAGAUCCGAAACAGUACAGGAGCACUCAAUAUCUUUAGAAUUACAAGACAAGCUAAUCUGCAACGAGUAUCAAAUUCAAUCUUCAACAUCCGUGAACAUCCGGUGAUUCUUACUCCUACCAGGCUACAUAUUCUACCAAAACCAUGGAAUCCCAUCUCAAAUCCCAGUUUCCUUCAUAUGUCACUUGAACAGCACCAUGUAUGAUAUUGCAAGAAAACCUUGUGCGGGACAUGCUCUAGGAGCAGACAGGAAACUUAUCUCGAAAGUUGCUACAUCAGUCGAUCUUCACAGAAGCAUAGAUCUUCCUCACAAACCAGAAGCAAGCAUAGAAGCCAAUGGUGCCGGUCAGGACGAAGAAGGCAUAAGAAAUGAUCAGCAUGUAACCAAAGUAGAGAAUGCCUGAAACAAGCUUUGUGAUCUCCAGCUUGUUGAAGAAGUAGAAGAUAGCAUAAGCGAAAAGAUAUAGAGCUGAAGAGCCUGCGGUCAGGUAGGCUCUCCACCACCAGUGGUAGUCCUCGCUGCAUAGCUGGAAGUAGCAGAGCACAAUUGUGAUCUCAGCACAGGUUACCAGGAGAAUGACGAAGACUAUGAAGAGGAAGCCAAAGAUGUAGUAGAACUGGUUCAGCCAGAUAGAUGUGAGGAUGAAGAAGAGCUCAAUGAAGACAGCACCAAAUGGCAAUAUGCCACCAGCAAGUAUGGAGAACGCUGGCUGCAGGUACCAUGCUUGCUCGGGAAUUUGCCUGGGAAUCUUGUUUGUCUUGACUGGGUCCUCAAUGGCUGGCUGCUUGAAUCCCAAGAAACUUCCAACAAAGACCAGUGGCACGGAGAUGCCAAACCAGAGAAGGACCAGAGCAAACAUUGUCCCAAAAGGAACUGCACCAGAUGAUUUCUCACCCCAGAUAAGGGCAUUCAGGACAAAAAAGACCCCAAAGAUUAUACCAGGAAACAUGAAGGCAGUUUUGAGGGUGAUCUUCUUCCACUCAGUGCCCUUGAACAUCUUGUAGAGGCGAGACGACGUGUAACCCGCCAAUACACCCAUGAAAACCCACAGAAGGACCAUAGCAGUCAUGAGUCCUCCACGGUUUGCAGGGGAUAAGAAUCCAAGUAGCGCAAACAUCAUUGUUACCACUGUCAUGCCAAAGAACUGCACACCAGUUCCAACAUAAACGCAAAGAAGGCCUGAAUGAACAGGAGGCCUGAAGGCAUCACCAUGCACUAACUUCCAUCCAGUUUCUUCCUGGGCCUCCUCCUGAUUGUCAAGCUGAUUAUAGUUUGCUAUGUCCUUGUAAAGGGUCCUCAUCAUAAUCAUGGCUAUCAUGCCAGAAAGGAAAAGGACAAUCAUCAAGGAGUUAAUAAUUGAGAACCAGUGGAUUUGGCUGUCACUGGAAAGAAGGUAGACAUCCCAGCGAGAUGCCCAUAUGAUCUCACUAGACUGCAGAAGAUCAAUUGUGAAUUAAUCAGCACGGCAGGAACAUGAAUGCCAGCAACAAAGGAUGUGAAAAAGGUAAUAUACCUCAAAGGUAACGUCAUAAGAGAAUACAACAUAUGCAUCAGGGGCCACCUCUUGAGGUGUGUGACUACCAGGAGUUAUCUUCGUGUUAGCGUUGCAGGUUUGUACUGUAGGAUUCUUGUCAUCCCAGGCACCAUAUUCAUGUUUAAUGCUGCAUAAAGAUAGACAGUGAAUAGGCAAGUUAUGAUAGGCACAUGUACCUUCACAUAAGAUAUAAAUUUAUAAAAAGCCAAGCACUAAUUUCUAAAUAUUGGCUAUGUUGAACAUUUACUAUGGAGAUUAAACUAUUUAUGAAAUGAUCAAAACAUUACAUGAACAAAAAUUUCAAUUGGUUUCGGACUGUUCAGCUACGCAUACCCAUAACAAAACAAGAUCAAUUAGACCACGAGGCAUGCUAAGUUAGACAUGACUGAGUAUACAUAACAUACCUGCUAGGAAUCACAUGGAAGCCAACAAUACGAGCCUCUGGGGAGUUUAGGUCUUCAUGGUACAAGACUUUAAAGCUCAAGUGAUUGUUAAUAUAGUACUUGUCAUCCUUGAGCUGCCAAUGUUGUGCUCAAAUUAAACAAGUUCCUUGAUAAAUGUUUCAUGUUUCAGUGAGUAGCAAUCGACUUGGUGAGAUGCUCACCUUAUAGCCAACGCGGUAACCAUGAUCAAAGAUCGGUUGGCUCCCUUCCCGUGUCUGCCUAGGGACCACAACUGGGAGAUUAUCCAAAAUCCUGAUAGAAGGAAAGUACAUUGACAGGCACUGUAUUAUAGCUUAUGCGGAACAUAACCACAAUUCUAAACUUGGACCAGUAUCAUAUGUAAGCCGGCUAGACAAUCGUGUUAAUCCUUUUUUGGCGGGGAACAGUCAUGUUAAUCAACUGGCAAUACAACAACAACUUCAAAAUCAGAACAUACAUAUUCACUCGAUAUUCAUCAUCGAUCUUCUCUCUGAAAUUCUUUGCAGCUUCUGCAGACAGCUUUGUUCGACAAACAACUUUGCAACUCUCGUCCCUCCUCAUCUUGAACUGCAAAAAGUUGGGAAAUUGAACUUAAGUUAAAGCAAUUUCAUAUUAUGCUGUCAUGCUCUCUACACCCUUGAACAAACAGGCAAAAAAUCAUUUGUAGAGUAUUUAAUGCAAAAUACACAGGUAGUAUACUUACAUUAUAGACAGAGUUUUCAAUGCGGUCCCCACGAAGGACUUCCCCUAAGUUCUCAGCGCUGUUCUUAAUCACCUCAGGUUUGCAGUAGUCCAGGAAAUAAUAGUCAUAUGGAAGUUGUGUCUUUAUAGAUGACAGCUUGUUGACCUUCACCUGGAGAUCAUCAUCCUGCAAUAUGAACAUUUAGUCAACCUUUGAAAACCAUUGAGCAAACAGAGAAUAGACAGGAAACAAUGAAUAAAACUUCCAGACAAUCAUAUCUAUAUACCUAAAUNNNNNNNNNNNNNNNNNNNNNNNNNNNNNNNNNNNNNNNNNNNNNNNNNNNNNNNNNNNNNNNNNNNNNNNNNNNNNNNNNNNNNNNNNNNNNNNNNNNNNNNNNNNNNNNNNNNNNNNNNNNNNNNNNNNNNNNNNNNNNNNNNNNNACACACACUAACUCAAUUAUCCUAACCUGCAACUAUGCCAACUCAUCAUGCCAUCAUGCAUGCCCCACUAAAUUUAAUUCUCUCAAUAUGCAACUAUGCCAACUCACCAUGUCACUAUGCAUGAAAAAUCUCCAUGCACCAUGCAUGCUACUCAUUCUCAAUAAAUAUUUUACAACUAUAUAAUAACUAGAUAUUGCAAAUUGUAUGUACUAUUAUUUCAAUUCUCAUGUUGCUAAUCAAAAUACUGAACUUUCAUACUGCCAAAUCUCAUGCAUCUAAUUCCCACAGCAACGCGCAGGGUAUCAUCUCUAGUUUAGAAGUUUGGUUAUACAACUAUAACUGCCUUAAUAAUUGUAUGGUACGGUAAGUUGGUAACUGCCUCUCUGAAGAAAUGACAGUCACCAAUGCAACACAACAACUGGAGCUACAUAAACAAGAGGACUCCAACAACUUGUAAAUGAUGAAAUCAAUUAACACAACAAUCUAAUGGCACCGGAAAACAACAUGCAAGUGUUAACAAGUGUUAAUUAAGUUAUACAGAAUGUAUCAUGUUCUCCUGAUCUCCUGAAAUUGUAACUGCGCUAGGAGGCAACAAGAAACAACAAACAUGCACUUGUCUCUAAGGUGUGGCUUCUUCAAGUAGAUCGCCAAGCACAUAGGCAACACAUAUAGGCUUCAACAUAAACGUUACUGUUGCAGAAUAUACUUCUACACAUUUGAUUCUCAUCAGAAUAUCAUUCAAACAAGAGAAACAAAUGAGCUUAUAAUGGGUAAGGACACUGUUUGUCUAUAUCAAACUAUAUUAUGAUGGUAUAACGGAAAGGAACCUCAGGAUAUGCAUGGUGUUUUUAGAUCAUGUGGACAUUCUAAUACAACAACUCUAGUACAUCUACAAGCAUACUACAUAAGGUAUGUUGCCAUUUCGAACAUUUUAAUUUAAGAAUGGUCUGUUUGUUGUAGUUUGCAGCCGUCAUAUGAGGAUAUUAGGCCCUAGCAAGUUAGACGAAGACAACACUUCAGUUAAUGCCACUUUCACAAGGUUUGUGAUUGCAGUGUUGCAAUCUCCAUGAAACCCACCAAUAUACACAACAAUAGGUACCCUGCUGAAUUUUCUACCCAAAACGCACAAAUAGUUUACCACUCAGUAAAUACAUGUUUUCCAAUAGUACAAAGAAGACUAAAUUAAACAGCAAUGAAAAUAAGAGAUGAAGCGAUGACGUGUCUGACACCUCUAGAUGAACUCAAAAACAAGCAGAAACCAAAAAUCCCCUGCACUUUUUGAAGUGUGACCCGCACCCAUCCCACAAUAAUACCUACACGCUGCACCAAACACAGUUAACCACAUCAAUGGAUCUAACUAUAUUUUGCAAUACCGUCGCGAUUCAAGCUAAGGAGAGCUAGAAAUGACAUCAGGAGUCGGAGAAUGGAACGAGGAGCCUAACCCAAAUGCACCAUGCUCGACAAAAUUAAUCGCACGCAAUCGAAGGCCAAGCAAGCGGGCGCUGCCACGUACGGCUUUCGCCUUAUCUGCGGGUACGCCCAAAACGCACACGCAAGCCAGCAUAAAAUCCAGGCAUUCCGCUCUCCGCUUCCAUUGCUCAGGUCACUAAACCCUGAACCACAGACGCACCCCUACUAAUAAUCCUCCAAAUGAGCGGAGACCCUCCGAACACGGGGAAACGACGUCUGGGAAGCCAGAUCUGAGGACGCGGCUCCCGGUACGGCUAGAUCCACCGGCACGGACGGCCGGGAGGCCACCUAGAGCUUAGAUCCGACGGGGAGAGGGCGAGCGGGGGGUGGAUUGCUCACCUUCUGNNNNNNNNNNNNNNNNNNNNNNNNNNNNNNNNNNNNNNNNNNNNNNNNNNNNNNNNNNNNNNNNNNNNNNNNNNNNNNNNNNNNNNNNNNNNNNNNNNNNNNNNNNNNNNNNNNNNNNNNNNNNNNNNNNNNNNNNNNNNNNNNNNNNNNNNNNNNNNNNNNNNNNNNNNNNNNNNNNNNNNNNNNNNNNNNNNNNNNNNNNNNNNNNNNNNNNNNNNNNNNNNNNNNNNNNNNNNNNNNNNNNNNNNNNNNNNNNNNNNNNNNNNNNNNNNNNNNNNNNNNNNNNNNNNNNNNNNNNNNNNNNNNNNNNNNNNNNNNNNNNNNNNNNNNNNNNNNNNNNNNNNNNNNNNNNNNNNNNNNNNNNNNNNNNNNNNNNNNNNNNNNNNNNNNNNNNNNNNNNNNNNNNNAGGCGCGGGCGGGGGUGGAGACGAGGCAUACGGCGGCGGCGACGAGGAAGAGGGGGAGGAGGAGGAGGCGGCCGCGCGGGCCGCCGGCGAUCGCCAUGUCGGGGGAGAAGUGGGGGAGUAGUGUGCCGAGAAGAGAAAUAUGGGGUGGGGUGGUGGUGCCUGCCCUGGUGGUGGGGAACUCCGAGCUACGACGGCCUACGGGAAGGGUGCAAUGAGGCCAAUAAACGGCCGUGAUUCGUCGACGUAAUGAAAGGAAAGGGAUUACGUAUCGUAUGGGUCGUGUGGAACAAAAUUCAAAAUAGAAACCCCACCGACCGACAGAGGAGCCGUCUUAUUCCGACCUACACUGGAUGGCUCCCGUCAACCUCAAAUCAUUUUCAUCAUUUUGGAGUCGCCGGAAAGAAAGUUUUAGGUACAUUAUUAUUUUUUUUGAGAAACUUUUUAGGUACAUUUGUUGGAAGACACUUCACCUUCUUUGAGCUUUAUAAGCUCGUCAGUCGUCAAAGACUUUCUUUAUUCUUUACUGUACGUAUUAGGUGGCACUUUACCUUCUUGAACAGUUCUUUUGACAAUAUGAAAUACUUCCUCCGUCUGAAUUAAUUUGUUACUGAAACGAGUGCCUACAAUUCAUUUCAACGAUAGUUAAUUCUGGAUGAAGGUUGUACAAAACAACUAUCCCUCUUUGCUUCCGCCAUGCUCCUGGUCACGCUUGACAGCAGCAUUUUUUGUUACUUCCUCCGCCCAUAAUAUGAGUGUUUUUGACACUAGUGGCACAGAGAGAGUAUUUAUUUCUUCCUACACUUCCAACUUCGUAGUUGACAAUGCCGACCAUGCUCGCGAUCCACCGACACAGGCCGCCGGUUGUAGUUUAUAAAAUACCCAAGAUCAAGGGCAUCCAAAUUCUUAAUUUCGAUUUGCUUAUGGCUCGGCCUCUCAGGAGCCGUCAUUAGGCAGUCAUAAGUGACUCUGCUCCCCCACACACACACAUUUUCUUUCUAUUUCAAAAUUCCACAUAUAACACUCGGUAGAAAGAAUCUAUCGUACAACUACAAAACCAAAUACUCUAAAAAAGUUAACAGAAAGGCACUAAUGAAAUUCAAGUAUAUCCCAGUACCAAACCAAGUUUGAACAACCGUUCAAAAGCGAUCAUUCAAAGUCAAUGAAACGAUCAACAUUAAUGACUACCCUUUCCUCUUUCUCUACGCUUAGUUCGGCGCAACUUGCAACCCCUGGUAAAAUAGUCUCCACUGCAACUUUCUCAUGCACACGGCAAUCAAGUUACUGUGCGUUUCAAGUUUCAGAAAAGUAAAUAAGUAGGAAGAGAAAAUAAUUAAAGUUUCAGAAAAGUAAAGCAAAGACUGCUCGGUGCAUGUAGCUCCCGCUUGUGCAGGCCCGACCACUUUAGGUCUAUUGUACGCAGCUAUUUCCUACAUUUCUAUAAGAGGCGUGACAUGGUCAAGGCAGCAGAUUUACCACUGCGCCCAAGGCUCCUCUUCCCAGAAAAGUAAAGAAGUACCAAGAGAAAAUAAUUACAGGCUAGAGGUUACAGACAGAACCCGUGUGGUUGACGAUGUACACUAGCACGUGCAGUCCAGCACAGUUUAUUGCCCCAUCUUUAUUCAUACACAAAAGUAGAUACAACCAGCGUGUUCGAGCAUCUUGGCCUAGAAUGCUCUUGCUAAGAGUUCCAGGAAGUGAAACCAAAAAAGAGCUCAUGUGCGUUGGUUCAACAAUACAGGAGAUGAUAUUACACAAGACAAUAAUAUUACAGAAGACGCCGUGACCCAAGAAAUCUACAGAUAACAUAUGCUCGCUGACUCAAAAAGAAUGGGAUCUGACUAUAUAAUUACUACAGCAAAAAGCCCAGAAGUUUGAACUGCUCAAUUUAUUCAAUCUGCACUUGAGAAAACAUUGGAUCUCCCAACAAAGAUGAGAUCAG
Molecule: long non-coding RNA, 28878 nt
Filed under: Triticum aestivum (bread wheat)
Lineage: Eukaryota; Viridiplantae; Streptophyta; Magnoliopsida; Poales; Poaceae
Description: long non-coding RNA (TAES_LNC016536)
Source: RNAcentral